RNAcentral lists this long non-coding RNA (215 nucleotides) under Phoenix dactylifera (date palm). RNAcentral's name for it is "long non-coding RNA (PDAC_LNC007179)". The record is from RNAcentral. Lineage: Eukaryota; Viridiplantae; Streptophyta; Magnoliopsida; Arecales; Arecaceae.
GUUAUAGUGAAUUCCCAAGAGAGACUUGGGGAGUGGACGUAGGAGCAAGGGGUAGCUCUGAACUACUAUAAAACUCUGUGUUUGCAUUGGAUUGUCUCUCUUCUUCUUCCCCUCACAUCACUCACAGCACUUAGCAUUAAUUAAAUAACUUGCAAUAGUUUUUAAUUAAUCAACCACAUCGUUUUAAUUAUCUAAAUUAUUUUAAAACCCAAUUC